UUGGGUAAUAAAUUUUCCCCCGUCUCUCUCUUCGGGAAUCUCUUUGUUGAUGUUUUUCACGAAAUCAAUUAACAGUUGAUUUUUCAGAAGGAAGAAGCUCGAGAGAUGGAGGCUGCCGUUCUAUUGAAGCCGACGCAUAGGCUCAAGUAUCAUUUUCUCCUCAGCUUCAGCCAUGUCCGGAGAAGAAGAAGAGAACGCUGCCGAACUCAAGAUUGGAGAUGACAAAAGGAAGAGCUCAUAGUGAUGAAGCGAUCGAGAAGAUGCUUAAUGAUCUCUCCUUUGUCAACAGAUUCGAGUAGUUGCGGAAAGUUCUCAAGAUCUAAGAUUAUAAACAUAUUUCAGGGGAUUACAUUCUCCUUCUAAAAUUAGUUUUUCAUGUCUGAGAGUUAGUUUUUCAUGUCUAAAAAUUAUGUUUUCAUGUCUGAAAGUUAGUUUUUCAGGGGACUACAUUAUAAAAAAAAAUUUAGAACCCCAUAGGGGUUCUCCCAUUGGAAGAGGAAAAAAAUAUUUCCACUAACAAAGGUUCUAAUCUUGCCAAAUCACUUUAUUUAAUUUUAAUUAAAUCAUUAGAACCUCUUAGAGGUCCUAACUGAUGGAGUUGCUCUAAGAACUAAGAAGAGAUCAACAAAAGUAUAGUUAGGUAAUGACAUUAGGGUUUGCAUGAUAUAACUAAUGUAUAUGGUUUACGUCAUGUACCAAUAGCACAUUUUAGGUCUGACUUUAUAAGUGAUCGUAAACCAACGAUCACGUUUUGUUGAAAGCUAAUGAUUUGGUACCCCUUAAUUAAUUUAUUUCGUUAAGGCUAUAAACUUGUAAUAGAAAAAAGAAGACGUGAUUUUCAAUUUUCUCGCUUGGUUUAUCAGCUUUCUUUUAUUUUCGGGGAUUUGGUAAGCAGCUCGUGACUCUUUUAUCUAAUUUGCUUCUUUUUCUUUGAUUCAAUGGUGAGGAAAUUGUUAGAGUAAAUUGAUUAACCCCACAAGAAAUAUAUACAUUUUCUUGUGUAUUGGUUGAGACUUGGCCUACCCGACUACAUUUAUCAGUUCACUAGAUUUUCUUUUUUACUUUUUUUCAUUUGUUGGAUUUUGUUCCACUCAAGUCUCCUCGCCCGAGCCAUAAACGGCGUGGUAAGUGUUACCACCCAGAGCUAAAUCAAAGAAACACGACGAUUACAUAACUUAAUAUAAAACACGGUACAAAAAGAGCACUAAGAACUUUUGAAGAAUAUAACACCACAAUAUAAGUGUGAAGCAAAGA
Brassica rapa (field mustard) is the source of this 1254-nucleotide long non-coding RNA. RefSeq lists it as uncharacterized. NCBI's taxonomy places the organism in Eukaryota, Viridiplantae, Streptophyta, Magnoliopsida, Brassicales, Brassicaceae. The record is from RefSeq and is a predicted model, not a curated record.